This 309-nucleotide unclassified non-coding RNA is filed under the name Hevea brasiliensis (rubber tree). Lineage: Eukaryota; Viridiplantae; Streptophyta; Magnoliopsida; Malpighiales; Euphorbiaceae. The record is from RNAcentral.
AGAAUAAAAAAUUCUAUUUAAGUUUUAAAUUAGUUUAAGUUAGUCCAUAUUUUUACUUUUUAUUGACUCCUUUCAAAAGAGGUAAGAUCCGGUGAAUCGGAAACAAUUAAUUAAGAAUUCAAAACUUUUUUAUGGAACAGACAUAUGAAUAUGCGUGGAUCAUACCUUUCAUUCCACUUCCAGUGCCUAUGUUAAUAGGAGCGGGACUUAUUCUUUUUCCAACGGCAACAAAAAGGUUUCGCCGUAUGUGGGCUUUUCAGAGUGUUUUAUUGUUAAGCAUAGUCAUGAUUUUUUCAAUUUACUCGUCUA